Molecule: long non-coding RNA, 7693 nt
Organism: Homo sapiens (human)
Lineage: Eukaryota; Metazoa; Chordata; Mammalia; Primates; Hominidae
Exons: 2
Source: RefSeq, a predicted model, not a curated record
AGUGGCUAAGAGCUGUUCCCAAGGCCACGUGCUGUGGCUCCCACUCAUCAGGACCAGGACUGCAGGGCUGCCGCGAAAGACAGAGAGAACGCGGUGAGGGCAGCCUGGCUGGUCUCCCCCUGACAGUGAGGCCCCGUCUCCCCAGGCGUGUACUCAAGAGCUUGUUGAGAAGUGCCUAUGCUGCCUUCAGCCAGCGGCCCCAGGGUUACUGAGCAACGGCCCCGAAAGCAAAACACUUCUUUGAAGGAACUAAAAUUUUGUCUGGGCUCCGUCAGUCAUCUUGCUGCCAAGGGAAGCACAGACAGCUCUGGAUGAGGGGUCAGGAGACGCCCUUUCUCCAGCCAUCACGAAACGGACUUCCUCUCUCCAGGCCUGUUUCCUAUGCGUUAAAAUGAAAAUGUCAAUCAAGAUAAUAGUAACAAUAAUUCCUGUUUAUUAAGGACUGGUCUGCCAGGUACAGAUGCUUGGUCUGUGCCACCUACUUUCAUCCUUACAAGGGCUCUUUACAGACAAAAAGAAAUGCGCUCAAGGACGUUCCCAAGGUGAAUUGGGACAUUGGUGUGGCACCACUGGCCCUCACCAGUGCAGAAUGCAAAGAUGUUUGGGAGAAGAGUCUGUGCUACACAGGAAACGCUUGAUGUGCACUGGCUUCCUCCUCACGGAGAGGGUAAGUGAAGAGAAGAAUGAGGGCUCCAUUGAAACCACAAGUCGGAUCCAUCCUCGGGCGAUUUCCUCAUCUGCAAAAUGGGGUGAUGGGGCUGACUGUAGACAUCCCUUCCUGGCCAAGGCAGGACUCAGCACACCUUCGCCCUGCCUUUGAUCAGGUGACAAUCCCAGCCACAUGGUUCCAGGCACAGGGCUAAGAAUGCCGCAUGAGGGAUUCCUUAAUCCUCACAACUGUCCAAGAGGCAGAGGCUCUUGUCCCUGUGUCUCUAAGCCAAGGCAUGGGGAGGCUCCUGAGACAGAGGCUCUUGUCCCUGUGUCCCUAAACCAAGGCACGGGGAGGCUCCUGUGGCUGGAGAGUGGCUGGGAGGGUGCUAGAAGGUGAGCCCGCAGCUGGGAUCCAGGACCCGGGCUCGGGGCCACCAGUGGCAGACACCUCAAAGCUGGGCACCUCCAUUUCCACCUGGUCUACCAGGGACUGGGCAGCAUGCGCCUUCCACCCCAUCAUGCCUGUGACCACCCCGGACAGCCCCAGAAUGAAUGGCAGGAGGGUCCAGGGAAGGCGAGGACACAGAGCGGACACCCCGCUGAGGGAGGACCAGGUCCCCCGCCUGCAGCAGUGCCCCCGACGCAGCUCUGCUCUGCAGAUGAGGAAGCGCAGCAGGGGCUGCGGAGGAGCCAACCGUCAGCUGCAGAGCCAGACACCAGGAAGGAAAAGAGAGCUGGCCCCGCUGCCCUUCCGGUGGGCUGAGAGGCCUGACCAGCGCAGAGAAGGGGCUGAGAGGCAGCAGCUCCUGUGAAUCUGGAGCUUGCUCUUGGCGCCCCAUGCUCUCGCCCAGUUCUGAUGCCUCCUGGAGUUGAGGGCCUAAGAGAGACAGCCAGACCUCAGCUGUGUCUCAGACAAGGACAGACAUCUUAGACGUCUGAGACGGAGGAUGAAUGUCUCAGUCCCACCUGAACGAUUCUUAGCUGGGGGCCUUAGAGCCUCCCCACCCUCGGCUUGCCAUCCCUCAUCUCCCCACACUAAGACCCCCGAAGACCUCCUUGCAGAACAGCCAAAGGCUUUAGAAGCCCCAAGCGACCUGGCGGUAGAGGCAAGAGCCCCCACCUUCCAGGUCAAUGGUUGGUGUUGGGGAAUGCGGGCCCCCUGGCCCUGGGUUGGCUCUGGGGUGUCCGUCCUCGACGACGCCGUGGAGUGGAGCAUUAGGGGCACCACCCUGCAGGCUGGCUUCCUCCAGCUUCACCCAUCACUGUGUGGCCUCAGGCAAACAACUCGACCUCUCUGAAUUCAUCUCAGACUCUGUACGAUAGGGCCAAAAGUAGUUCUUAUCUCAUAGUGUCUUGGGUUACAGCUAUGGUCUGCUUAGCACAGGGCUGGGCCUAGAGCAAGCGCUCCACACUUAUUCCCUUAUGCUCUGGCCCUCCCGGACCACAGCCAGCCCAGGAUCUGUGCUGGGUUCACAGGAGGGCUCUGCUACCUGUCCUUGGAGAAGAGGCCACAGGGGACUGCAGGAGCCGACAGCAGGCCCACCCACUGACACGAGAGGCCACACUCACACACGCAUGGCCACACAUAGACACACAUGGCCACAUGCACACGCGGCCACACCAGCAGCUGCCUCUCGUCUCCGUGUAAGUGGAGCAGGCAGGGCGGGGUGGGCGGCGGGCAUGACACCGGGCGCAGCCCUAUUGCUCAACGCCUGGACCGCGCCAGGUCUCAACGGUCAGAGACGCGGCUGCUGGAGCCCAGGAGCCUCGCAAUCCAGCCUCUGUGGGCCACGGGCUUUGAAUAUUUUUAGAGAAGUCGGGUUUCUGCCAAGUUCCUCUCCUUCAGAUUCUUCCUGUUGCUGGUGGUUCCCACCCCACCGGGGUCCUCCGCCCCUGGUGCUCACAGGUCCAUCUAGGCUCCUGGGGGACUUGGCAGAAUCAGAGAAAGUGCAGCUGCCGAGUCAUCCUCCCACCCCAGCCGCUCCCCCCAACCACAAUUCACCCCGGGACCCCGUGUCCCUCAAACUCAGGCCAGGCACUGCGGGAGGCCUUAUGUUUUCUCUCCACCCUCUGUCCCCCGCUUCUCAUUGUCUUUGCCCCCCAUCCCUUUUUAUGUGAAAGAUCCAGGCCUGACCAGCUGGGCGCCUAGGAACAUUCAUUUCAGCCCUUUGUAAGUGCACGCCUUGGUCGUCAGGCGUGAAGAGGCAGCGGGUCGGGCUGACUACAUUCCAAGCCCACUGGGGCAGCUUUUCCUGUGUUUCAGUGGGUUUGUUCAGGCAUGGGCAAAAGUUAUUCUUCCCAGAUCCUACUAGAUCAUAGCUCAGAAGUCAGCAGCACACUAGUGCAGCAACAUGGACCCUCCACCACCUUCUCCAGCCCAAGUCACAGCCCAGAAAUACCCCUGUAGUGGGAUAAGCAGCCAAGGGGUGGGUGCCGUGGGUUUGGAGUCUGCCUGUGCUGUGCUCAGACACAGCUGGAGCCUCAGGGAAGUCCUGGGCUGCGCACGGCACCACAGUGAGUCCAUCACUGCUCCAGGAGGGGCAUAGGUCUAUGAAGGAGAUUUAAAGUUGAAAGUCACUGCCUUACCUUUUUUUUUUUUUUUUUUUUUUUGGAGACAGGGUCUCGCUCUGUCACCCAAGCUGGAGUGCACUGGUGCAAUCGUAGCUCACCGCAGCCUCCAACUCCUGGGCUCAAGGGAUUCUUCCAUAUCAGCCUCCCAAGUAGCUGAGAGUAUAGGUGCACACCACUAUGCCUGGCUAGUUUCAUUUUCUUGUAAAUGUAGCCUUGUAUAGUGAGACGAGAUCUCACUGUAUUGCCCAGGCUGGCCUUGAACUCCUGAGCUCAAGUGAUCUUCCUGCUUCCGCCUCCCAAAGUGCUGGGAUUACAGGCAUGAGCCACCGCACCCAGCCAUUCUCCGUUUUUUAAGACUGCAUUCAGCUCCUAUGGCUGCCAUAACAUAUGACCACAAGUUUAGCAGCUUGGAACAGCAGGCGUUGAUUCUCUGACUGUUCUGGAGGUCAGGAAUCUGACACAGGUCUCACUGGGCUAAAGUCAGUGUGUCACAGGGCUGUGCUCCUCCUGGACGCUCCAGGGAAGAAUCUCUUUUCUUGCCCUUCCCAGCUUCUAAAGGCCGCCAUAUUUCUUGGCCUCUUCCUCUACCUUCAAAGCCAGCAUCUUCCAGUGUCUCUCUGACUCUACUUCCCUCAUCGCAAGCUCCAUCUCUAACUCUGACGCGCUGCCUCCCUCCCUCUUACAAAGACCCUUGUGAUGGUCCACCUAUAUAAUCCAGAGCAAUCUCCUCCUCGCAAGAUCCUUAAUUUAAUCACACCUGCAAAGUCCCUUUUUCACGUCAGGUAACACAUUCACAGUCCUGGAGUGGGGACGUCUUUGCAGGGCAGGAUGAACAGAAUUAUUCUGCCAGUCACACAAACCUCAGGCAACUUAGCUAUCUUCUCUGAGCAUCUCUUCCCCCAGCUGUGAAAUGGGAAUGAUGAUGAUCAUGGUGGUGAUGAUGGUGAUGAGGCGGAUGGUGGUGACAGUCAUGAUGGUGGUGAUGGUGACGGUGGUGGUGGUGAUGAUGAAGGCGAUUAUGGUGACAACAAUGAUGAUGAUGAUGAUGGUACUUUUCCCUGUGGGGCUGCUGGGAGGAUUCAACCGGUUCAUAUUUAGAGUUCAUACAGCUACACUGAGCACACAGUAAAUGCUACGUAUGUAUGUUUGUCAAAUAUAAGAAUUAUUUUGCUACAGGCAAGUUUCUGCCUGUGGGUUUAGCACUUUCCCUGCUGGGUAACUGACUUGCUCUGUAACACGACAAUCCUUUGCAAGUCUUCCAUGGGAACCAGGAUUUCUAUCACAUCAUUAAAACAGCUCAGCAUCCCCUGAAGAUCUGGGAAAUUUGUAUAUAGGUGAUACACACAACGUGAGGCUCCCAACCCUGGUGUGCAAAAGGUCGUAAUAGGGAGUGAACGGAGCAAGCCAGCCCAUCUCUCAGCACCGUAUCUCCCAACACACGGGCCUCCUGGUUCCCUCUCAAGCCAGCCCACCUCUCAGCACCGCGCCUCCCGACACACGGGCCUCCUAGUUCCCUCUCAAGCCAGCCCAUCUCUCAGCACCAUGCCUCCCGACACACUGGCCUCUGGUUGCCUCGCACACACCAGGCAUCUUCCCUCCCAGGGCCUUUGCACUGGCUGUUCCACGUUCCUGAACAGCUCUUCCCCAACCUCCAACCCCACUCCUCCCUUCCUCCCAUCCUCUAGGCUGCAGCCUAAAUGGACCCUCAGGUGGGUCCUCAGAGAACCCCCCCGGGCAUCUGUCUGAAGCGGGCACCCCAUUGCGUCCCCAAUGCCACCCUAUAUUUUCCUUUCAGGCUGUAAUUCCAUAUUCAGCUGUUUGGUCAUCCAUGUCCCCCUCCAGAGAUACAUGGCUCAUAUCUGCCCAGUACCCAGAACCGUGCCCGGCAGCUGCAGAAUUCUCAAUGCAACUUUUGGUGAAUGAGUAUUGAAACCAAGACAUCCAGCCUACUCAUUGGCAAACACUUACUCAGCCCCACCCGUGGACCAUAUGCCCUGCUGGGAACUGCACACAUCAAAAUGAAAAACACACACAGAGAGAGAGAAAGAGAUAAGUGGAUCUUUAGGACACAACGCAGUGAGUGCCAGACAAGCCCUUCUCAGAUGGGUGUGCACGUUGUUAAGUGAGCAGGACUGGAGCCACCCAGCGGCGGCCACCAGUCACCUGCAGCUAGGCAAUGCGCAUUUAAAUCGAUUACAAUCCCAUCCUGUUAAGGAUCAGGCACUCGGGUGUCAUGGCGGCUGGUGGCUCCAUUUGGACAGUGCGGGCAUGGGUCACUUCCCGUUCAUCACAGAAAGUUCCAGCAGACGGUGCUGCACAAGGGUCUCAACUGCACUGUCCCUUCAGGAAGCCAUGUGUCGCUUACAUUUAAGUUAAAAUUAAAGUUCAGAAUUCAGAUUCUGUGUUGGACAAGCAGACAAUAGAGUGUGUCUACCCAUGCAGAAAGUUCUGGUCCACCACGCCGCUCCCCUGUUAAACUGCCUGGGUUGAAAUCCUGGCUCUAUGAUUUCCCCACUGGGGCAAGUUCUUUCUCCUCUCUGUGCCUCGGGCUCCCCACUUCAAGUGAGGGGUGGAUGGAACUCAACACACAGGCCCUGGCGUUCUUCAGGCCUUCCACACGUAGCAGCUGCGGUCGCUGUUGGCACACGGUCCGCUGCCAGCUCACCGGGUGAGUUAGGGAGGGCUGGGAUUCCUACACCCAUCUUAAAGAUGCAGAAAUGAAAGCCCAGAGAGGCUGCUCAGCCUGCCCAGGGCACACAGCCUGUGCGCAGCCAAGCACCUGGGCCUCCAGUCUGCUGCUCGCUCUGCUUCCCAGCCCUUCCUUGAUCUUGGUGACCACACGGUGUGGCAGGACACCAAGUUAGCAGGUAACUGGUGGCGUUUCCAUAGGCUCAAGAAGGAGCGUAUGUUCUGAGCCCCGCAUCACAGAGCCGGUGUGAAGGCACUGAGAUUCCCUGAGCAACGUGGCCCUCACCGUCUUCCCCUGCCAUGAACCCAUCACUGAGAUGAGGGAUUUGUAGCUGCGUCUCCAUUUUUCCAAGGGCAAGGAGAAAGGGAGGCUCAGGAGAUCUCUCAGAGUGUCGCUGAGCAGGCAUCUAGGCCGGGAAAGAGUGGGUGGUGCAGACGCAGGAGCAGGGGUGGGAACCAGUGGGAAGAGCCUGGACGUGCGGGGCGCCGGCUUGAGCGCGGCCCUGGUAUUCCUCGCUAAGUAACAAAUCAUGACUGUGUCUAUUUUUACUUAAUCUUCAUCAUUCCCAGUGGUGAAAGAGCCGUGACAAUUGAGGAAGUGGUGGGUGGACUUCUUUUUUCUUCUUAAUCAAGUGCAAAGCUUUCCUUUAAGAAUCCGGCAUUUGAAAGAAUGUACUGGAACCAAGGGGUCAGGCAGAGGCAUCCGCUGCCCUGAGAACGAAUCCUCAGCUCGUCCAUCCUAACGCGAAGCGUCAGCGCCAGGCUGGCUCCUCGUGGGCCCCACAUCGGGCACUCAGCACUGUGUGUUGUGACAUCGCUGGUGGGCCGGGCACGCUGGCAGGGUUGGGUUGGUUUUUUACAUCCCCCUUGGAAACUCUCACCCAGAGUCCUCUCAGAAUGUGGCUGGGAGCAUUCCCACAAACCGUUACAAAGUAUUUUAGGCGACACAUUUCUAUAACUGCAAUGCUCCUUAAAACAACUUUUUUUCAGUUUUGCCCUUUUGCAAAAUAACUGUUUUUAUACCGAUGCAGAAGCUCGUUCUCUCAAAAUUAUUCUCGGUCAGAAUUGCUCUUGCCUGUGGCACUAAAGAGAAAGCGGAGACAAAGGUUCAACUCUCCUGUUUUGAACCAGGGUGUCCUGCUGUGGAAUUUUGGACAUUUGCCCAAAGCGGCAAACACCCCUCCCUAGCGUCAGGACCUCAGGCCCAGUAUUAUGCAGAAAGAUACUCAGGUGGGCAUCUUCCCCAUUUUCUCUCCUCUGAUAAGAAAAAAAGUCACCAUUUGAAAGCAACCUCAAAAACAUGGCAUCUUGCUGUCCCACAGGGCAGGAAUCCCAGACACAAGGGCCCUUCCACAGAGAUCACUUUCAGCUACACAUCGUUGGGAAAAAACAGCCCCUGUGAAAGUAAACAUUCCUCAUGCCCAGAUCUACAUGUGGCAAGGGGCAGGGCAUACAUUUAGUAAAAUCGUAUUUUUGUCAAAACAAACAAGCCAUGUUUGUCUGGGAAGGAUGCUUAGAACACCAUUGGCAUAGGUUACUGCUGGCAUGGAAAUGAGAAGGGAGAAGCUUCCAUUUUUUACUUCGUACAUUUCUCUAUUGUCUCAAUGUUGUUGCAAAACUCAUAUAUCCCUUGUGUGUGCUUCUUACGUUUGGAUGCACGUCUCCUUGAAAAACAAGAAAGGGAAACUAUUAUUGAGCACCUACUACACGUAGGACACUAGAUCAGAUACUGAAUGUCAUACAAAAGUGAGAAGUGGUAAUAAACGUGACCGCUACCUUUUAA